Molecule: long non-coding RNA, 557 nt
Organism: Pomacea canaliculata
Lineage: Eukaryota; Metazoa; Mollusca; Gastropoda; Architaenioglossa; Ampullariidae
Exons: 3
Source: RefSeq, a predicted model, not a curated record
CCCACUAGGGAUGGUCAGUGGCCGCUCAAAAAUAAAUCAGGAAGCAGGUAGUACCAUCCAUUACUGACCACGUACUGACGGGAAUGGUCAAGGUUCGAGUCCAGUAUAAAUGGGCUUCUUUUUAUCAGCAGGUCACAUCACCUGUACACUGAGACUUUGAAGAGCACCUUGCCCCACAGUAUCUCUUCGAAAUGAAGGCUUUCGUGUUUCUGCUGUUGUACACCGUCGUGGCCAUGAGCUCCGCCACCCUCUACUACAACAACCUCAACCCUUACCUCACCAAGUACGCCGGUCUAGGUCUCGGCCUCGGUCUGGGCGGCGUGGGUUUCGGCUAUGGUGGACUGUACAAUGGGUUGUACGGAGGUCUCGGUCUGUACAACGGACUGUAUGGAGGACUCUACGGAGGCUUGUACGGAGGCUAUCCUUACUACGGGCUCAAGGGCUACUACUAACGGGAGGAGGAAAGCAAGCCACAGGAAUUCGACCUUCUUUAAAUGCAUUGAUAAUGGAUGUCAUGAAAUUUUUAUAAAAGAUAUUAUACGAGUUAUUUUUUAAUA